RNAcentral lists this non-coding RNA (24 nucleotides) under Cricetulus griseus (Chinese hamster). Lineage: Eukaryota; Metazoa; Chordata; Mammalia; Rodentia; Cricetidae. The record is from RNAcentral.
AAGAGCUGCAGCAAGGACCCCAUU